RNAcentral lists this ribosomal RNA (463 nucleotides) under uncultured bacterium. RNAcentral describes it as "partial 16S ribosomal RNA". It matches the Rfam family "Bacterial small subunit ribosomal RNA", at positions 28 to 507 of the family's 1533-position model. The record is from RNAcentral.
GACGAACGCUGGCGGCGUGCUUAACACAUGCAAGUCGAACGGAAAGGCCUUUUCGGAGGUACUCGAGUGGCGAACGGGUGAGUAACACGUGGGUGAUCUGCCCUGCACUCUGGGAUAAGCCUGGGAAACUGGGUCUAAUACCGGAUAGGACCGCACUUUAGUGUGUGUGGUGGCAAGUUUUUUCGGUGUAGGAUGAGCCCGCGGCCUAUCAGCUUGUUGGUGGGGUAAUGGCCUACCAAGGCGGCGACGGGUAGCCGGACUGAGAGGUUGGUCGGCCACAUUGGGACUGAGAUACGGCCCAGACUCCGACGGGAGGCAGCAGUGGGGAAGAUUGCACGAUGGGCGCAGGCCUGAUGCAGCGACGCCGCGGGGGGGAUGACGGCCUUCGGGUUGUAAACUCCUUUCGCCAGGGACGAAGCGUUUUGUGACGGUACCUGGAGAAGAAGCACCGGCUAACUACGUG